RNAcentral lists this ribosomal RNA (488 nucleotides) under uncultured bacterium. Its description in RNAcentral is "partial 16S ribosomal RNA". It matches the Rfam family "Bacterial small subunit ribosomal RNA", at positions 30 to 506 of the family's 1533-position model. The record is from RNAcentral.
UUGAACGCUGGCGGCAGGCCUCACACAUGCACGUCGAACGGUAACAGGAAGCAGCUUGCUGCUUCGCUGACGAGUGGCGGACGGGUGAGUAAUGUCUGGGAAGCUGCCUGAUGGAGGGGGAUAACUACUGGAAACGGUAGCUAAUACCGCAUAAUGUCGCAAGACCAAAGAGGGGGACCUUCGGGCCUCUUGCCAUCGGAUGUGCCCAGAUGGGAUUAGCUUGUUGGUGGGGUAACGGCUCACCAAGGCGACGAUCCCUAGCUGGUCUGAGAGGAUGACCAGCCACACUGGGACUGAGACACGGUCCAGACUCCUACGGGAGGCAGCAGUGGGGAAUAUUGCACAAUGGGCGCAAGCCUGAUGCAGCCAUGCCGCGUGUAUGAAGAAGGCCUUCGGGUUGUAAAGUACUUUCAGCGGGGAGGAAGGGAGUAAAGUUAAUACCUUUGCUCAUUGACGUUACCCGCAGAAGAAGCACCGGCUAACUCCGU